UACGAAGGGGGCUAGCGUUGCUCGGAAUCACUGGGCGUAAAGGGUGCGUAGGCGGGCCUUUAAGUCAGGGGGGAAAUCCUGGAGCUCAACUCCAGAACUGCCUUUGAUACUGAAGAUCUUGAGGUCGGGAGAGGUGAGUGGAACUGCGAGUGUAGAGGUGAAAUUCGUAGAUAUUCGCAAGAACACCAGUGGCGAAGGCGGCUCACUGGCCCGAUACUGACGCUGAGGCACGAAAGCGUGGGGAGCAAACAGG
This 253-nucleotide ribosomal RNA is filed under the name uncultured bacterium. RNAcentral's name for it is "partial 16S ribosomal RNA". It matches the Rfam family "Bacterial small subunit ribosomal RNA", at positions 524 to 776 of the family's 1533-position model. The record is from RNAcentral.